Molecule: ribosomal RNA, 489 nt
Filed under: uncultured bacterium
Lineage: Bacteria
Description: partial 16S ribosomal RNA
Rfam family: Bacterial small subunit ribosomal RNA
Source: RNAcentral
GACGAACGCUGGCGGCGUGCUUAACACAUGCAAGUCGAACGGAAAGGCCCCCACCUUGGUGGGGGUGCUCGAGUGGCGAACGGGUGAGUAACACGUGGGUGAUCUGCCCUGUACUUCGGGAUAAGCUUGGGAAACUGGGUCUAAUACCGGAUAGGACCAUGGUUUAGUGUCUCAUGGUGGAAAAAUUAUUGUUUUGGUGCAGGAUGAGCUCGCGGCCUAUCAGCUUGUUGGUGGGGUAAUGGCCUACCAAGGCGUCGACGGGUAGCCGGCCUGAGAGGGUGGACGGCCACAUGGGGACUGGGAUACGGCCCAGACUCCUACGGGAGGCAGCAGUGGGGAAUAUUGCACAAUGGGCGCAAGCCUGAUGCAGCGACGCCGCGUGGGGGAUGACGGCCUUCGGGUUGUAAACUCCUUUCGUUAGGGACGAAGCCACACCUUUUUUGGGUGUGGUGACGGUACCUUUGUGAAGAAGCACCGGCUAACUACGUG